UAGGGAGGAAGGUAGUGUAGUUAACACCUGCAUUAUUUGACGUUACCUACAGAAGAAGCACCGGCUAACUCCGUGCCAGCAGCCGCGGUAAUACGGAGGGUGCGAGCGUUAAUCGGAAUUACUGGGCGUAAAGCGCAUGCAGGCGGCCUGUUAAGUCAGAUGUGAAAGCCCGGGGCUUAACCUCGGAAUUGCAUUUGAAACUGGCAGGCUAGAGUCUUGUAGAGGGGGUAGAAUUUCAGGUGUAGCGGUGAAAAUGCGUAGAGAUCUGAAGGAAUACCAGUGGCGAAGGCCGGCCCCCUGGACAAAGACUGACGCUCAGAUGCGAAAAGCGUGGGGAGCAAACAGGAUUAGAUACCCUGGUAG
Molecule: ribosomal RNA, 363 nt
Filed under: uncultured bacterium
Lineage: Bacteria
Description: bacterial SSU rRNA
Rfam family: Bacterial small subunit ribosomal RNA
Source: RNAcentral